AGUAGUAAUUCCCGGCUUCAACUGAACAUUUUCCCCCUUCCUACUUUUAAGUCUUUGAGCAGUCAAGGCUGUCUUUGGUGGCUUGGUUACUUUCUAGUUUAGCAAGGGAGUGGCUACGUCUUUAGAUCCUCAAGCUUUUACAAAAGAUGGGUAGAAGACAGUAACACCAUUACAGAAUUCACCUUUCCAGCAGCGAGGAGUGGGGUGCCCUGUGCUCACAUGUAUGAACACACAAGGCAGAAGCCCCCAUAUUUCUAACCACCCCUAAAUGGCUCAAGAAACCAUGAAGCAAAAAUUUGCAAUAGAUGUUACUGGAGAGCAGCAAAACUCGAAACAAGCUUUGCCAAGUGUUCCAGGUCUCCCUUUUCUCACAAGACAUCUACGGACUACAGUGCUGGUGCCUACACAACCGUUGGAUCUGAUGGCUGUGGUUUACAGAAUAUGAGAACUGUCAUCUCAGUGUUUUGAAUUGAGAGCGUGGGAGGAACAUGAGGCUAGUUGGAACAUAUCAAUGAAGGGUAUUUACUAUCUCAGGUAACACUUCUCCAUGGAAGGCGAUGUUUGAUCUCCGUAUCACAGGAACAAGGCUUUUAAACAUAGCUCGCAUUUUGAAUUGCGCUUCUAAAAGUGAUUGUGCCUUUAAAAACAUUUUCAUGUUGCUUGGAUCAUUUUAGAACCAUUCAGUCACUGUUGGUGAUUUAAUUAAACUAUAAUUAA
Mastomys coucha (southern multimammate mouse) is the source of this 717-nucleotide long non-coding RNA. RefSeq lists it as uncharacterized. Lineage: Eukaryota; Metazoa; Chordata; Mammalia; Rodentia; Muridae. The record is from RefSeq and is a predicted model, not a curated record. The transcript is spliced from 2 exons.